AUACGUAGGGGGCGAGCGUUGUCCGGAAUGACUGGGCGUAAAGGGCGUGUAGGCGGCUGUCUAAGUCUGGAGUGAAAGUCCUGCUUUCAAGGUGGGAAUUGCUUUGGAGACUGGAUGGCUUGAGUGCGGAAGAGGUAAGUGGAAUUCCCAGUGUAGCGGUGAAAUGCGUAGAAAUUGGGAGGAACACCAGUGGCGAAGGCGACUUACUGGGCCGUAACUGACGCUGAGGCGCGAAAGCGUGGGGAGCGAACAGGAUUAGAUACCCUGGUAGUCCACACCGUAAACGAUGGAUACUAGGUGUGCGGGGACUGACCCCCUGCGUGCCGCAGUUAACACAAUAAGUAUUCCGCCUGGGGAGUACGGCCGCAAGGUUGAAACUCAAAGGAAUUGACGGGG
This 396-nucleotide ribosomal RNA is filed under the name uncultured bacterium. RNAcentral's name for it is "partial 16S ribosomal RNA". It matches the Rfam family "Bacterial small subunit ribosomal RNA", at positions 523 to 918 of the family's 1533-position model. The record is from RNAcentral.